Molecule: transfer RNA, 74 nt
Filed under: marine sediment metagenome
Description: tRNA-Asn
Rfam family: tRNA
About the family: Transfer RNA (tRNA) molecules are approximately 80 nucleotides in length.
Source: RNAcentral
UCCUCAUUAGCUCAGUUGGGUAGAGCAUCUGACUGUUAAUCAGAGUGUCAUCGGUUCGAAUCCGAUAUGAGGAU